RNAcentral lists this ribosomal RNA (497 nucleotides) under uncultured bacterium. RNAcentral's name for it is "partial 16S ribosomal RNA". It matches the Rfam family "Bacterial small subunit ribosomal RNA", at positions 28 to 507 of the family's 1533-position model. The record is from RNAcentral.
GAUGAACGCUGGCGGCGUGCCUAAUACAUGCAAGUCGAGCGAACGGACGAGAAGCUUGCUUCUCUGAUGUUAGCGGCGGACGGGUGAGUAACACGUGGAUAACCUACCUAUAAGACUGGGAUAACUUCGGGAAACCGAAGCUAAUACCGGAUAAUAUUUUGAACCGCAUGGUUCAAAAGUGAAAGACGGUCUUGCUGUCACUUAUAGAUGGAUCCGCGCUGCAUUAGCUAGUUGGUAAGGUAACGGCUUACCAAGGCAACGAUGCAUAGCCGACCUGAGAGGGUGAUCGGCCACACUGGAACUGAGACACGGUCCAGACUCCUACGGGAGGCAGCAGUAGGGAAUCUUCCGCAAUGGGCGAGAGCCUGACGGAGCAACGCCGCGUGAGUGAUGAAGGUCUUCGGAUCGUAAAACUCUGUUAUUAGGGAAGAACAUAUGUGUAAGUAACUGUGCACAUCUUGACGGUACCUAAUCAGAAAGCCACGGCUAACUACGUG